UCUCCAUAUCUGCCACACCAGACCAUACCACAGCUGACGCACGCACAGACGCAGUGCACGGCCUCACACUCUCAAGUCUCUAUCCUAUCCAAUCCCUUUCCAUAAUUACUCUUAAAUCCACUCCAAUACAUCCAAAAAAUUUAAGCCCUCAUUUAUUUUUUGUUUUGUGUAUCAUCUCCGAUUUUUUCAAUCAAUCUCUCUCUACUGGCGGGGGUGGUGAUUUUGGGGCAUGGCGCUUCCUGCGGCUGUUGUCAUCGUGCCAUUGGGACUUCUGUUCUUCUCGUAUGGCCUUAUUAUUAAUCUCAUUCAGGCUA
This 314-nucleotide unclassified non-coding RNA is filed under the name Hevea brasiliensis (rubber tree). Lineage: Eukaryota; Viridiplantae; Streptophyta; Magnoliopsida; Malpighiales; Euphorbiaceae. The record is from RNAcentral.